This 440-nucleotide ribosomal RNA is filed under the name uncultured bacterium. RNAcentral's name for it is "partial 16S ribosomal RNA". It matches the Rfam family "Bacterial small subunit ribosomal RNA", at positions 338 to 795 of the family's 1533-position model. The record is from RNAcentral.
CCUACGGGAGGCUGCAGUGGGGAAUAUUGCACAAUGGGCGAAACCCUGAUGCAGCAACGCCGCGUGAAGGAAGAAGGCUUUCGGGAUGUAAACUUCUUUCAGCAGGGAAGAAAAUGACGGUACCUGACUAAGAAGCACCGGCUAACUACGUGCCAGCAGCCGCGGUCAUACGUAGGGGGCCAGCGUUAUCCGGAUUUACUGGGUGUAAAGGGUGCGUAGGCGGAUUAGAAAGACCGAAGUGAAAAACCGGGGCUAAACAUCCGGACUGCUUUUGAAACUGUUGAACUAGAGUGCAGGAGAGGUAAGUGGAAUUCCUAGUGUAGCGGUGAAAUGCGUAGAUAUUAGGAGGAACACCAGUGGCGAAGGCGGCUUACUGGACCGGAACUGACGCUGAGGCUCGAAAGCGUGGGGAGCAAACAGGAUUAGAUACCCCAGUAGUC